GUGAAAACAGCAGCCACAGGUUCUCUCUCUCAUGACACCUAAAUCAUUUUCAGUGAGUUGGGUCUGCCUCAACCCCCAUUACUCAAUUCCACUACUCUUAUCUGCUCUGGUAAAGCAGACCACUCCAUAUACUAUCAUAUAGGAAACCUUUUGCUUUCUUUUUCCACUCACUUGAUAACUUUCAUUGUUGCUAUCUGCGCUGUUUUUAACUUUUUCCCCAUUUGCUUCUGUGCUUCCUUAUUUCGUUCUUGCACUGGACACUCUUGAUUGAAUACACGUGCGGUUUUACUCUCUUUUAUUCAUUUUCUAUUAUUUUCUUUUGCUGCUUAAUUUCUAUGGGUUUGAGCUAUCUCUGAUGGGUUUUCUUGCUUUGGUGCAUUUGGUAGCUCUGAAAUUGAGUUUCUUGUGAAUUGGAGACUUAUAUGGAGGGUCUUUGUCGGGCUUUUCUUUAGGUAUUUAGGUGGGGAUUUUUGUGGGUAAUGUGCACAGUGUCCUAGCAAGAUUUUUCAAUGCUUACUGUGACAAGUGGUUUGGGAGACAAUUUAAUUUGAUUUUUGCCUUGUUGGGUAAAAAGUGUAUGAGAGACAUAAUUUUCUUGCUUGUAUUGACAACAAGGUUUGUGUCUAAUCUCUUAAAACAGUGAUUCUAUAGUAUUGCAAUGCAGUCUUGGAGCUGUGUCACUGGAGGGAAGGGGUUAGUAUCCAAUGAAACAAUUUCAUCUUCUGAUGCUAUUGCCAAAAGCAAAAAUGCCUUGAUGGGUUGGGAUUUGAAAAAUGCUUGUAGUUUUGGCAAUAACAUGGUCGUAUCAAGUCAACAAGCUAUUGAAAAUCAUGGUUUUGGGGAAUUAAUUUAUCACGAACUGAUGGGAAAACAAUUACCUGAUAAUUCAAUUAGGGAUGUUUUGAGUAGCGAGGCUGGUGGUGGAAAAAUCAUCAAUCCUUUUAUGGUCAGCACGAAUACGUUUUGUUUGGAAGAUGAGUCCACCACCAGGCUUUCUAGCUCUGUUGUGGACUCUAAUAGUAAGGAUUCUUCAUUCAUCGAUUUGAAGCUGGGCAGGUUUGGUGGUCCUGCAGACGCUCAGAAUUCCAAGAUUUCCAAAGGAGCAUCCAUUCUGUCUUCAUCUGAGUCAUCUGCGCCUCCAAAGAAAGCGAGACUGGGAGUGAAUUCCCACACUGCCCGUUGCCAAGUUUAUGGUUGUAAUAAGGAUCUCAGCUCCUCGAAAGAGUAUCACAAGAGGCAUAAAGUCUGUGAAACUCACUCCAAGACUUCGAAAGUUAUUGUGAACGGAAUAGAGCAGAGGUUUUGCCAACAAUGCAGCAGGUUUCAUUUGCUGGCUGAAUUUGAUGAUGGUAAACGCAGCUGUCGUAAACGCCUUGCAGGCCAUAAUGAGCGUCGGAGAAAGCCUCAAGUUGGUAUUCACUCUGGAAGGAAUGAGAGGCUACUUCAGCCGUACAAUGGCCUUGCCACCAGCAGAUUUCAUGGCACUACAUUAACAUCUUUUAUCUGCCAAGAUAUACUUCCUACUGGCCCAUUGCAUCCUGAGAAAUAUGGAACAAGUAAUUGGUGCAGGCAUAUAAAAGUGGAAGAUGGUUCUGAUUUUAGUCUACUAUCAUCUAUUCCUGUUACAAGAAGCAUUUUCAGUGCGAGCACUAAUCGAUAUCCACGUGAUUUGGGAGGCUUAAAUUCUUAUUCACAUUCGUUAAUCCGGGGCACCUCAUUGGGAAAUGAAGACUUAACUGCUUUUGAUGCAGUAUCAACCAUUCAAGGACUAGCAGGGAUCACAAGCUCUAGUUGUGCUCUCUCUCUUCUGUCAUCUCCAUCAGCCGAGACUAGGGAGAUUGGCUUGAGCCACAUGGUGCAGCCUGACAUGAACCCCCCAGCUCAGUCCCUGAUCCCAAGCCUGAACUUUAGCUUUCCUGGAAUGGAAAGUGGGCCUGUUGAUUCCGUUUUGGUCGCUGAUGGCAGUAGCAAUGCCAAUCUCCAUGGUCAGGGUAUGUUUCAGAUUGGACCUGAUGGGUCAUCUGCAAGCGGAUCUCUCCAGACACUUUCCUUCUCGUGGGAGUAAUAGCACCAUUUCCUCCUCGUGAUCCGAUGCUUUAAAUGCAAAAAAUGAAAGGACUUGAUGUCCUAAACCAUUUGCUUAUUGUGAGAUUGUUAUGUUUCUUCUGAAUUGUGUGGAUCCCCACUCGGACAACUGUUGGGAAUGCAAGAUGCUACUGUAUUAUUUGCAUGUGUUUUCUCCUAUUUUUUCCGUGUUCUUAUUCGUGUUCAUUAAACAUUGAACUUCCAAUGUUGCAAGACAAAUGCAUCUUCUGAAGAAAAUAAGUGCAUUAUUGGCUUCCAUAGGCGUUAUCCCAGUGCUAUUAGUAUAUCAAAUUCCUCAUUAGCUAACUCAUUGACUGCCCUUUCUCAGUUGCAGCCUUCAUCUUUUGAAAAUCUAAAACUUUGAUGUUGUUAGACACAAGGUAUGGCCUAUGGGCGCUGCAACAGGAGUUGUCUGCUUACACCGGCAGUGGGUCAUCGAGUGCCUCUGAAGCUAUCUCAUCCUUUUAUUUUCAGCAUGCCAGGCACUUGCAGACUCAGGGAAUAGCAAAUGUGUUGUUCUUCUUUAAUUCCUUCACAUGUAAUUGCAGUUGUUUGACUGUUGUCCCACUGAUAAUUGCCACUUGUACAUUGUUGUUG
Molecule: unclassified non-coding RNA, 2682 nt
Filed under: Hevea brasiliensis (rubber tree)
Lineage: Eukaryota; Viridiplantae; Streptophyta; Magnoliopsida; Malpighiales; Euphorbiaceae
Source: RNAcentral